Molecule: long non-coding RNA, 221 nt
Filed under: Helianthus annuus (common sunflower)
Lineage: Eukaryota; Viridiplantae; Streptophyta; Magnoliopsida; Asterales; Asteraceae
Description: sRNA HanXRQr2_Chr02g0080871
Source: RNAcentral
GUUCGAACUCGCGUCGGAAGACUAACCGGAGUUCACCGGGGCUGCCUGAGGUUCGCGACGGUAUCACGUCAUCCCUUGUUUCGACGAAGAAACGCCACCGGAGGAAAACCGACUUGCCGGGAAUUGAUUUUGAUAUGAGUCGCCGCAUCCGCGAGUCGGAACGAGGAAGCUCUUGUCGGAAACAUCACCCGGGAACUCGUGAUUCGUUCCGUGAACCAUGA